GCAAACUUCAUCUGCUGAGGAACAGUGUGAUACGAUCGAGAGUUCCUGAACAAGCGACGACUGGAAGAAGUGAGGAUCGGCCAGAAUGACUUCACCUUGCAGAAAUGUCCCCUGAUGGCCUCAACUCUUAUUACUGUUUCUAUAUGCUAAUAAGAGGCCAUGACCUUUCUGCGUAUACCAUCAUUUUACCCCACAUGAUAAAGUGAAGUCAUAGCAGGCGCGAGGCGGAAGG
Toxotes jaculatrix (banded archerfish) is the source of this 232-nucleotide long non-coding RNA. RefSeq lists it as uncharacterized. The transcript has 3 exons. The record is from RefSeq and is a predicted model, not a curated record. Lineage: Eukaryota; Metazoa; Chordata; Actinopteri; Toxotidae.